GGUUCAGCUAGUUACCUAUAAAGCCCUAAACAGCUUAGGCCCUGGGUAUUUAAGAGAACGUCUUCUUCUCCAUGAGCCACGCCGCCUGCUAAGAUCAUCUGGAGAGGUUCGUCUGUGGCUGCUGCCAACUCGUCUGGCGACUACUUGGGAACGAGCCUUCUCCGUUGCAGCCCCUGGGCUUUGGAAUGCGCUCCCUGUUGAAAUAAGAGCCUCCCCAUCUCUGGCAACUUUUAAAAAGGUGCAGACAACCGGUAUAUACAAAACCCCUAGAUCUAAACUACUAAUGGCCUUAUGUGCUGUUGCUGUCUGGACUUGCCGCAUGGAUGAUAAACCUAAGAAGGAACUGCAGGGAUGCAACAUCCCUGUUGCCAAGCAGGAGAAGAAAGUGGCAGGAGAAGAAAGAAGAUGGCAAAGGGUGAAGCUUCAGCUCCGAGAGGUGGCCAGUGAGAAACACGGCUGCCCUAGAACUGGUGCAUUUCUGGGCUGCUCUGAGCCAACCUCUCGAUGGGAGCGACACAAUGCUGCCUUAUAAACUCAGGUUUCAGCAGUGAAACUCACUACAGACCAAAGGUUCAAAUCCAGAUUUGGUAGCAGAAAUUGACCUGUAGUUGGGUGACAAAACCAGUUUCAUGCAUUCAGAUGACCACAAACUCAAACCUCUGGCAUGUUUGCAUCUGGUUUGGUGUUAUGUCCGAACGUGGUCACUAUAAAGCAUCUGCAUAUGUUUACUGUGAGGGCAGAUCUUUUAGUUUCACAUUACACUCAAUGCCGGGGGUUGGGGUGAAGGAGGAUAAAACACUCAAGGGUAAUCAUUUGCCAUUUCUUCAAAUGUACAAACCUAAUUUUGGUAUAAAACAUUUUGAUAUUCACCUAUUCUAGGGUAUAGUGUUCUUCUGUUACAAAAUUAAUGUAAAGUUUGUCUUGGUGAACUUGGUGAACUGUCUUAUUAUAGGGGAUGACAGCUCUCUCUCUUAAUCUUAAUAUCUGCAGACCAAUAAAAUGGAGGAAAUUCCAUGAAAUAUAUCUCGAUAAUAUACAGUAUACAGAUACAGGGUCCCAUAAGUCAUUUCAGCAAUUCCAUGAAAUAUUGGGUCUGUAUAUGCUUUAUCUAUUGAAUAACUGAUAGGAGUUCAAAUGGCUAGCAGAAUUCCAUUCUUAAAAACAAUGGUUAAGAAAUGAGUAUUGAACAACGAAUGGCAUUUUUUGAUCAUAGACUGAUGUCUGUGAACACAAAUUAAUAUGAAAACAUUCUAGAAGAAGCUGGGAAGAUCAAUGUAAGCUGUUUGCAUUCAAGGCAGCAAUAAGCCCUUGGGAUCUCUGAGCAAGUGGUGUACAUACGACAAAUAUAUGAAUAUGAAUACGACAAAUAUUUAUAUACUGCUUUUCAACAAAAAUUCCCAAAACGGUUUACGUAUAAAUAAAUAAAUAAAAUUG
This is a long non-coding RNA of Hemicordylus capensis (graceful crag lizard), 1434 nucleotides long. RefSeq lists it as uncharacterized. NCBI's taxonomy places the organism in Eukaryota, Metazoa, Chordata, Lepidosauria, Squamata, Cordylidae. The record is from RefSeq and is a predicted model, not a curated record. The transcript has 3 exons.